This 275-nucleotide unclassified non-coding RNA is filed under the name Hevea brasiliensis (rubber tree). The record is from RNAcentral. Lineage: Eukaryota; Viridiplantae; Streptophyta; Magnoliopsida; Malpighiales; Euphorbiaceae.
UCGGCUCAUUGAAAUCUAAUGCAUUUGUGUCUGAGAAGGGUCAAAGUAAAUCUUCUGAUGAUUUGCUGGAGCUUUCGGAUGCUUUUGAGUUUCAAGAAAAUGAGAUCCUAAAUGCCAAGGACAAGCUACGGUCUAUACGAGCAAAGAUAGCCGUGAUAGAAGGAAAGAUGGCGCUGACAAUUAUUGAUGCACAAAAGGUGAUAGAGGAGAAACAAAAGAGGAUCAAUUGUGCUCGCAGAGCUUUGCAACUUCUUCGUACUGCUUGCGUGGUCUGG